GCGAGAGCUGUGCCAGCGGCGGGGGUAAUACGUGGGGGGCAAGCGUUAAUCGGAAUUACUGGGCGGAAAGCUGGCGCAGGCGGUUUAUUAAGUCAGAUGUGAAAUCCCGAGGCUCAACCUAGGAACUGCAUUUGAAACUAAUGAACUAGAGUAUCGUAGAGGGAGGUAGAAUUCCAGGUGUAGCGGUGAAAUGCGUAGAUAUCUGGAGGAAUACCAGUGGCGAAGGCGACCUCCUGGACGAUAACUGACGCUCAAGCACGAAAGCAUGGGGAGCAAACAGGAUUAGAUACCCGAGUAGUC
RNAcentral lists this ribosomal RNA (300 nucleotides) under uncultured Lactobacillus sp. RNAcentral describes it as "bacterial SSU rRNA". It matches the Rfam family "Bacterial small subunit ribosomal RNA", at positions 496 to 795 of the family's 1533-position model. Lineage: Bacteria; Bacillati; Bacillota; Bacilli; Lactobacillales; Lactobacillaceae. The record is from RNAcentral.